ACAGUCACACAUUAGAUACCCGUGUAGUCCUAGCCGUAAACGAUACUCGCUAGGUGUCGGCCACGGUGCGACCGUUGUCGGUGCCGUAGGGAAGCCGUGAAGCGAGCCACCUGGGAAGUACGGCCGCAAGGCUGAAACUUAAGGAAUUGGCGGGGAGCACCACAAGAGGUGGAGGCUGCGGUUCAAUUGGACUCAACGCCGGAAAACUCAUCGGGAGCGACAGCAGUAUGAUUGCCAGGUUGAUGACCUUGCUUGACAAGCUG
Molecule: ribosomal RNA, 263 nt
Filed under: uncultured archaeon
Lineage: Archaea
Description: partial 16S ribosomal RNA
Rfam family: Archaeal small subunit ribosomal RNA
Source: RNAcentral